AAGGAGCUUGCUCCUUUGACGUUAGCGGCGGACGGGUGAGUAACACGUGGGUAACCUACCUAUAAGACUGGGAUAACUUCGGGAAACCGGAGCUAAUACCGGAUAACAUUUGGAACCGCAUGGUUCUAAAGUGAAAGAUGGUUUUGCUAUCACUUAUAGAUGGACCCGCGCCGUAUUAGCUAGUUGGUAAGGUAACGGCUUACCAAGGCGACGAUACGUAGCCGACCUGAGAGGGUGAUCGGCCACACUGGAACUGAGACACGGUCCAGACUCCUACGGGAGGCAGCAGUAGGGAAUCUUCCGCAAUGGGCGAAAGCCUGACGGAGCAACGCCGCGUGAGUGAUGAAGGGUUUCGGCUCGUAAAACUCUGUUAUUAGGGAAGAACAAACGUGUAAGUAACUGUGCACGUCUUGACGGUACCUAAUCAGAAAGCCACGGCUAACUACGUGCCAGCAGCCGCGGUAAUACGUAGGUGGCAAGCGUUAUCCGGAAUUAUUGGGCGUAAAGCGCGCGUAGGCGGUUUCUUAAGUCUGAUGUGAAAGCCCACGGCUCAACCGUGGAGGGUCAUUGGAAACUGGGAAACUUGAGUGCAGAAGAGGAAAGUGGAUUC
This 610-nucleotide ribosomal RNA is filed under the name Staphylococcus saprophyticus. RNAcentral describes it as "bacterial SSU rRNA". It matches the Rfam family "Bacterial small subunit ribosomal RNA", at positions 73 to 668 of the family's 1533-position model. The record is from RNAcentral. Lineage: Bacteria; Bacillati; Bacillota; Bacilli; Caryophanales; Staphylococcaceae.